RNAcentral lists this ribosomal RNA (345 nucleotides) under uncultured bacterium. Its description in RNAcentral is "partial 16S ribosomal RNA". It matches the Rfam family "Bacterial small subunit ribosomal RNA", at positions 338 to 675 of the family's 1533-position model. The record is from RNAcentral.
CCUACGGGCGGCUGCAGUGGGGAAUAUUGCGCAAUGGGCGAAAGCCUGACGCAGCGACGCCGCGUGAGGGAUGAAGGUCUUCGGAUCGUAAACCUCUGUCAGCAGGGAAGAACGGUCACGGGGCUAAGCAGCAGUGAAUUGACGGUACCGGCAAAGGAAGCACCGGCUAACUCCGUGCCAGCAGCCGCGGUAAUACGGAGGGUGCGAGCGUUAAUCGGAAUUCCUGGGCGUAAAGCGCUCGUAGGCGGUAUGUCAAGUCAAGGGUGAAAUCCCCGCGCUCAACGUGGGAACUGCCUUUGAACCUGUCAACCUGGCGUGUGUGUGCGGCUAGUGGACUUCCUGGUG